RNAcentral lists this ribosomal RNA (497 nucleotides) under uncultured bacterium. RNAcentral describes it as "partial 16S ribosomal RNA". It matches the Rfam family "Bacterial small subunit ribosomal RNA", at positions 28 to 507 of the family's 1533-position model. The record is from RNAcentral.
GAUGAACGCUGGCGGCGUGCCUAAUACAUGCAAGUCGAGCGAACAGACGAGGAGCUUGCUCCUCUGACGUUAGCGGCGGACGGGUGAGUAACACGUGGAUAACCUACCUAUAAGACUGGGAUAACUUCGGGAAUCCGGCGCUAAUACCGUAUAAUAUAUUGAACCGCAGUGUUCAAUAGUGAAAGACGGUUUUGCUGUCACUUAUAGAUGGAUCCGCGCCGCAUUAGCUAGUUGGUAAGGUAACGGCUUAGCAAGGCAACGAUGCGUAGCCGACGUGAGAGGGUGAUCGGCCACACUGGAACUGGGACACGGUCAAGAGUCCUACGGGACGCAGCAGUAGGGAAUCUUCGGCAAUGGUGGAAAGCCUGACGGAGCAACGCCGCGUGAGUGAUGAAGGUCUUCGGAUCGUAAAACUCUGUUAUUAGGGAAGAACAAAUGUGUAAGUAACUAUGCACGGCUUGACGGUAACUAAUAAGAAAGCCACGGCUAACUACGUG